Molecule: ribosomal RNA, 237 nt
Filed under: uncultured bacterium
Lineage: Bacteria
Description: partial 16S ribosomal RNA
Rfam family: Bacterial small subunit ribosomal RNA
Source: RNAcentral
UGAGCAAUCUGCCCUUCUCUUCGGAAUAAGCGUUGGAAACGACGUCUAAUGCCGAAUACGACCUCCUUUCGCAUGAUCGGAGGUGGAAAGCUCCGGCGGAGAAGGAUGAGCUCGCGGCCUAUCAGCUAGUUGGUGUGGGUAAUGGCCCACCAAGGCGACGACGGGUAGCCGGCCUGAGAGGGUGACCGGCCACACUGGGACUGAGACACGGCCCAGACCUCCGUACGGGAGGCAGCG